AUCAGUCUCUUCUGGAGCAGGCACUUUUUUGCAAUGUGAAGCGUGUAUCCAAGAACUCUUCCCAGCUAGUUUAACUGACGUUGCUGUAAUCAGGAGCACUUGGUAAGGACCAUCAAAUCUCGGUUCUAGGGUGUGUUUUCUGAGAAACUUCUUAACCAUAACCCAGUCACCCGGAAGCAGCUUGUGUGUACCUGUAUUCGACUCAGGAUCUGGAAUAGAAGAAAACACUUGGGCAUGUAUCUUGGUCAAGGCAUGUGAGAGGGCUGUCACAUAAUCUACCAUAGCAUCUGACUGGAUCUGAAGCUGUUGGGGAAAGUAACAACCUAACCUGGGUGCUGUACCAAACAAAAUCUCAUAAGGUGACAGGCUGUACUUUCCCCUAGGAGUGUACCUUACACUAAACAAUGCUAAUGGGAGACUCUCGGGCCAGGGCAUGUUAGUCUCUUGUGACAUUUUAAGCAUUCUGGCUUUCAAAGUGCCAUUCAUGCGCUCUACCUUGCCACUACUCUGUGGGUGAUAUGGUGUAUGGAAUGCAAGGGUCACCCCCAGUGCUGACCAGACUUCCCGUGUUAGCGAGGCAGUAAAGGAGGUUCCCUGGUCACUUUCAAUCACUUCUGGAACUCCAUAGCGGCAAACAAUUUCCGUCAGAAGGUACUUGGCUGUAGUUCUCGCGGUGAGGUUGGUCACUGGGAAGGCCUCUGGCCAUCCUGAAAACAUGUCCACUAUAACCAAUGCAUAUUCAUGAC
Molecule: long non-coding RNA, 746 nt
Filed under: Pelobates cultripes (western spadefoot toad)
Lineage: Eukaryota; Metazoa; Chordata; Amphibia; Anura; Pelobatidae
Source: RNAcentral